RNAcentral lists this ribosomal RNA (423 nucleotides) under uncultured prokaryote. Its description in RNAcentral is "bacterial SSU rRNA". It matches the Rfam family "Bacterial small subunit ribosomal RNA", at positions 355 to 774 of the family's 1533-position model. The record is from RNAcentral.
UGAGGAAUAUUGGUCAAUGGGCGCAAACCUGAACCAGCCAUCCCGCGUGCAGGAAGACGGCCCUAUGGGUUGUAAACUGCUUUUCCAGGGGGAGAAACUUGCGCACGUGUUGCGCAAUUGACGGUACCCUGGGAAUAAGCAUCGGCUAACUCCGUGCCAGCAGCCGCGGUAAUACGGAGGAUGGGAGCGUUAUCCGGAUUCAUUGGGUUUAAAGGGUGCGUAUGCGGACUAUUAAGUCAGUGGUGAAAUCCUGCAGCUUAACUGCAGAACUGCCAUUGAUACUGAUAGCCUUGAGUUUGGUUAAGGUAGGCGGAAUGUGUAAUGUAGCGGUGAAAUGCUUAGAUAUUACACAGAACACCAAUUGCGUAGGCAGCUUACUGAGCCGACACUGACGCUGAGGCACGAAAGCGUGGGGAUCGAACA